ACAGAAUUUUAUUAAAAAUAUUAAAAAUAUGAGAGUAACAAUAAAUACAAUAUUACUGUAGUAGUGCAGUGGAAGCCAUUUAAACUCAGUAAGGACAAGGUCCAUUUCCAAAUAUCUCGCCUGAGCACCAUACACUGAGUGGAUUUCUUUAUUACGUAUAUAUGGCGGCCAAUUUUUAAUGUAAGGCACUGUUGAGUUGUUUGAGGCACUAGCUGUUAACUCUACCAGUUCGUGCAUUUGCAACAAAUAUAAAGUCAAAACACUGAUAUAAGGAACAAUUAAACUAUUACAAUGACUUACUCAUUUCCUGACAGACAUUCAGUGACUCAUAAAAUCAUGCUUUCUCAUACUUAGAAAUGAUCAUGCUUUAAUUCUUGUGCUUAGAAAUUAUCAUGCUUUUAUAGUGUUGUUCUUAGAAAUGAUUACGCUUUCUGGGUUGUGCUUAGAAAUGCUUG
Molecule: non-coding RNA, 455 nt
Organism: Paramuricea clavata
Lineage: Eukaryota; Metazoa; Cnidaria; Anthozoa; Malacalcyonacea; Plexauridae
Source: the annotation of a GenBank genome assembly